GCCUGAUGCAGCAACGCCGCGUGAGGGACGACGGCCUUCGGGUUGUAAACCUCUUUUAGCAGGGAAGAAGCGAAAGUGACGGUACCUGCAGAAAAAGCACCGGCUAACUACGUGCCAGCAGCCGCGGUAAUACGUAGGGUGCAAGCGUUAUCCGGAAUUAUUGGGCGUAAAGAGCUCGUAGGCGGUUUGUCGCGUCUGCUGUGAAAACUGGGGGCUCAACCCCCAGCCUGCAGUGGGUACGGGCAGACUAGAGUGCGGUAGGGGAGAUUGGAAUUCCUGGUGUAGCGGUGGAAUGCGCAGAUAUCAGGAGGAACACCGAUGGCGAAGGCAGAUCUCUGGGCCGUAACUGACGCUGAGGAGCGAAAGGGUGGGGAGCAAACAGGCUUAGAUACCCUGGUAGUCCACCCCGUAAACGUUGGGAACUAGUUGUGGGGUCCAUUCCACGGAUUCCGUGACGCAGCUAACGCAUUAAGUUCCCCGCCUGGGGAGUACGGCCGCAAGGCUAAAACUCAAAGGAAUUGACGGGGACCCGCACAAGCGGCGGAGCAUGCGGAUUAAUUCGAUGCAACGCGAAGAACCUUACCAAGGCUUGACAUAUACGAGAACGCUGCAGAAAUGUAGAACUCUUUGGACA
Molecule: ribosomal RNA, 634 nt
Filed under: Actinomycetes bacterium
Lineage: Bacteria; Bacillati; Actinomycetota; Actinomycetes
Description: bacterial SSU rRNA
Rfam family: Bacterial small subunit ribosomal RNA
Source: RNAcentral